Molecule: ribosomal RNA, 460 nt
Filed under: uncultured bacterium
Lineage: Bacteria
Description: partial 16S ribosomal RNA
Rfam family: Bacterial small subunit ribosomal RNA
Source: RNAcentral
CCUACGGGUGGCAGCAGUGAGGAAUAUUGGUCAAUGGACGCAAGUCUGAACCAGCCAUGCCGCGUGCAGGAAGACGGCUCUAUGAGUUGUAAACUGCUUUUGUACGAGGGUAAACGCAGAUACGCGUAUCUGUCUGAAAGUAUCGUACGAAUAAGGAUCGGCUAACUCCGUGCCAGCAGCCGCGGUAAUACGGAGGAUUCGAGCGUUAUCCGGAUUUAGUGGGUUUAAAGGGUGCGUAGGCGGUCGGAUAAGUUAGAGGUGAAAUCCCGAGGCUCAACUUCGGAAUUGCCUUUGAUACUGGUCGGCUUGAGAGUAGUUGCGGUAGGCGGAAUGUAUAGUGUAGCGGUGAAAUGCUUAGAGAUCAUACAGAACACCGAUUGCGAAGGCAGCUUACCAGGCUACUUCUGACGUUGAGGCACGAAAGCGUGGGGAGCAAACAGGAUUAGAUACCCUUGUAGUC